RNAcentral lists this ribosomal RNA (253 nucleotides) under uncultured bacterium. RNAcentral's name for it is "partial 16S ribosomal RNA". It matches the Rfam family "Bacterial small subunit ribosomal RNA", at positions 524 to 776 of the family's 1533-position model. The record is from RNAcentral.
UACGUAGGGACCGAGCGUUGUCCGGAAUCAUUGGGCGUAAAGAGCGUGUAGGCGGCUAUUUAAGUCCUGCGUGAAAUCCUGCGGCUCAACCGCAGACGGUCGUGGGAAACUGGAUGGCUAGAGUGCGGGAGAGGAGAGUGGAAUUCCCGGUGUAGCGGUGAAAUGCGCAGAUAUCGGGAAGAACACCCGUGGCGAAGGCGGCCCUCUGGAACGCAACUGACGCUGAGACGCGAAAGCGUGGGGAGCAAACAGG